GUUUAUGGUGCAAACAUUACACUCUUGUUCAGGAAAGGGUCCUCAAGGCAGAGAUGCCCUGAGGAAUGGUACAUUUGUGAGACGGAGCAGACUCUACGGCAAUGGAUAAAUGGACACCGAAAAACAAUCAACAGACAGGAGUGCUCCUUCCCAAUCAGACAACACUUCAGUUGUCUGGGAAAUUUGACCUUGGACCUUCAGGUUUGAAGGACAGAGCUCCGAAGGGUUGAUGAUAACAG
Long non-coding RNA from Hemiscyllium ocellatum (epaulette shark), 239 nucleotides. RefSeq lists it as uncharacterized. The record is from RefSeq and is a predicted model, not a curated record. Lineage: Eukaryota; Metazoa; Chordata; Chondrichthyes; Orectolobiformes; Hemiscylliidae. The transcript has 3 exons.